Molecule: ribosomal RNA, 256 nt
Filed under: uncultured archaeon
Lineage: Archaea
Description: partial 16S ribosomal RNA
Rfam family: Archaeal small subunit ribosomal RNA
Source: RNAcentral
CAGCCGUAAACUAUGCUCGCUAGGUGUCAGGCAUGGCGCGACCGUGUCUGGUGCCGCAGGGAAGCCGUGAAGCGAGCCACCUGGGAAGUACGGCCGCAAGGCUGAACUUAAGGAUUGGCGGGGAGCACAACAACGGGUGGAGCCUGCGGUUUAAUGGACUCAACGCCGGACAACUCACCGGGAACGACAGCAAUAUGUAGGCCAGGCUGAAGACCUUGCCUGAAUCGCUGAGAGGUGGUGCAUGGCGUAGACGUGU